AAAAAAGGCUGAAUCUCUAAUGAUCCACGUUUAUCAUCAAUCACUUUCACAAAACUGUUUUAUCCAAAAAGACAAGAGAAAAGACACAACUGAUUUUAAGCCAUCAACUUCCAACAUCAAAAUGCAAAUCCAUAAGCUUUUUUCUGGAUCUACAGUUCCACAGACUUUGAUUUGAUUAAACAAAACAAAAACAUAUCAUCUCAAAAGUACUAAAAGUGAGAUCUAUUUUAAGGUACAAGUUAACCACAUUGUACAUGUUACAUAACAUAAUCCAUAACAUUAUUGAAUACUAAGAAAUUAAGCAUUAUCAUACAAAAUUUCUAAGCGUUUAGAACAAAGAGUACAAGAGUAUUUUCUCUUGAUUUGAAAACACAUGGUUAAGAAACAGAGCUUGGAUUGAACCUCAACAUCCAUGGCUUCAACUUUGCCACCACAGAAAGGACAAGAACCAGGUGCUUUUUGUCUUCCUAGUUCCUUCUGUUCGCCUUCCCAAACGUAAGACAGCCACAUUUUUCUCAUGUUUUCCUCCGUUUUGAUGAUGUUUGUGUUGUGUUGUGGGGACUCAAAUGAAAGAAGAGAGAAAGUGUCUCAAUCUUGGUAUGGGCAUAAAUGGAGUUCAGUUGGUUGUAUUUAUAGAGGGGCAACUUUGGUUGUUGCAUUGUUUUGGAUUUCCA
Molecule: long non-coding RNA, 674 nt
Filed under: Lathyrus oleraceus (garden pea)
Lineage: Eukaryota; Viridiplantae; Streptophyta; Magnoliopsida; Fabales; Fabaceae
Description: Pisum sativum (pea) long non-coding RNA (PSAT_LNC013035)
Source: RNAcentral